This 429-nucleotide ribosomal RNA is filed under the name Acidobacteriota bacterium. Its description in RNAcentral is "Acidobacteria bacterium partial 16S ribosomal RNA". It matches the Rfam family "Bacterial small subunit ribosomal RNA", at positions 355 to 776 of the family's 1533-position model. Lineage: Bacteria; Pseudomonadati; Acidobacteriota. The record is from RNAcentral.
UAGGGAAUCUUCCACAAUGGACGAAAGUCUGAUGGAGCAACGCCGCGUGAGUGAAGAAGGGUUUCGGCUCGUAAAACUCUGUUGUUAAAGAAGAACAUAUCUGAGAGUAACUGUUCAGGUAUUGACGGUAUUUAACCAGAAAGCCACGGCUAACUACGUGCCAGCACCCGCGGUAAUACGUAGGUGGCAAGCGUUGUCCGGAUUUAUUGGGCGUAAAGCGAGCGCAGGCGGUUUUUUAAGUCUGAUGUGAAAGCCUUCGGCUCAACCGAAGAAGUGCAUCGGAAACUGGGAAACUUGAGUGCAGAAGAGGACAGUGGAACUCCAUGUGUAGCGGUGAAAUGCGUAGAUAUAUGGAAGAACACCAGUGGCGAAGGCGGCUGUCUGGUCUGUAACUGACGCUGAGGCUCGAAAGUAUGGGUAGCAAACAGG